AGAGUACAGGACAUUUUAUACUAUGUCCUCAGGUACUUGAUUUGUAUUUUUUUCCUUAAGUUUGAUAGCAUUUCCGAUAAAUAAUAGACUGAUGGGGCCCCACAACAUUACCCACACACUUCUCGGGGGCCACUGCACUGAAAACUCUUCUGAUUUGCAAUAAUAACAUUUACUCAUCAAACAAAUACAUCCUGAAGAAAUGUAAUAUUCUACCGUACAUAUUAUCGGUACUCUGAGAUGAAACAAAAUGUUUGUGUUACCAAGAGAGAUGACACAAAUUUGGGAAAAAUAAAAUCACAUACUACAGAUGAGAUGACACUAGAUAUAAAAUGAAACAGACUUGUACUUUCCAUAUACAUCACUCAUUAGUGACAUACGCUAUAUUGCCGGCUGUGUUACUGCAGCUCUAUGCGCCUUGUAAGCAUAAUAUGAAAUACACGUCAGUCUUUAUAACAGCGUUGUGCUGUGACAGCUUUGCACUUUUUCUUUCUGGUUUUGUAAUAUAAGCAAUUUCCUCCUCUUUAUAAGAGAUACAGAGCUAUUUUUUUUACCAGAGAUGCUGAAUAUUGAAAAUGCAUCCUCAUGUCUAAUAGGUAAGUAAAAGUUUUUUUCAUAUAGCGUACAAAUAUAUUUCCUGGGGUAGUAGAUUCUUAAAAGAUCUUAUUUCAGUGCUGAAUGCUGAAGCUGGGAGCUUGGCGUCAGGUUGGGAAGGAUUUUGCUUUGCUGUGCAUUGCACAUAUUAAGAUCUCUUUCAUCUGUUCCUUCUGGGUUCUACUGUUGCUUGUGGCUUAUUAGUAGAUACAGUAUAUGCUCUGUGUCCUACUUUAUCUGAGGUGAAGUCUCUCAUUUGCUUCUCUAAGGGACAAAUGAAUUGAUCUGCGAUAUUUCUAUGAGGAGAGUUUAGGAGCCUGGAGCAGGGAUGUUGGGAUCCUGACACCCGUCAAAAUGCAGACGGCGGAAUCCCGACAGGAUCAGGAGACUGAGGCCGGAAGCCCCACAGCCAUCAUCUUGACCGCUAAGACAGUACAGAGAAGCAAGAUCCUGAGAACAGAGGAUCCAUUGGGAAAUGCCAGUUCUACUUCAAGAAAAGACAUCAU
Molecule: long non-coding RNA, 1097 nt
Organism: Pseudophryne corroboree (corroboree frog)
Lineage: Eukaryota; Metazoa; Chordata; Amphibia; Anura; Myobatrachidae
Exons: 3
Source: RefSeq, a predicted model, not a curated record